AGAUAAAUCUGAAAUACGGAGUAAAGCUUGCCGUGAGAAGUCAGCAGAGGCCAUAGUACCGAUUUUUUUUUUCGGAAAGGGC
Non-coding RNA from Peptoclostridium acidaminophilum DSM 3953, 82 nucleotides. NCBI's taxonomy places the organism in Bacteria, Bacillati, Bacillota, Clostridia, Peptostreptococcales, Peptoclostridiaceae. The record is from Rfam.